GUGGUGUUGGCGUAGGCUGACUGCCUUCCUGUAGGGGAAGCUGGAGGUGUUAGCAUAGGCUGUCUGCCUUAACGUGGAGAAUCUUGGAGAAGCCCGGUCUCUUCUUCAGGGCCUGAAAAGAAGCAGGGUCGACGUGAAGAAGCGCGAAGGGGGUCAUUGGUAGGGCUGUGAAGUGACCUGCAGCUUGUUCACCAUCUCAUCAAACAGCUUCCUGGCCUCAGGGCUGUUGGGAUCUUCAAAGUAGUCUUCGAUGCCGAUCUGGACCACGAUGGACUUGAGGUUACGACACACGCCUACAUGACAACAAAAGACAGCGUGGGAAGAAAACCGGGGAAUGUGAAGAUUUCAUCUAAUUAGAAUGCGCAAUCUUAAAUGCUACUGCUAUUCAUGAUAAGUCAUAUUAGGCAUUUAGCAAAGCUUUCAUCCAAAGAGACCUCCAAUGAGCAGGUAGGGUUUAUGGCUUCUUGCUCAAAGAUGCAUACAGAUAGACUGGGACAUUGGGGCGGGAAUCUGGAGCCUUUUCACUGGGAGUCAAUCACCCGAACCAAUAGACUACCCUGCCUUGAAUAAGUUAGCAUUCACUGUGGGAAUAAAAGCAAAGCUCAGAGUUUUCUUUAACAUAGUUUGUACAAAAGAGAGUAUAAAAUCUCCCUUCGUAAUAGCAGUGGUAGUAGUAGUAGUAGAAUUGGUUACAGUAGUAGUAGUAGUAAUAGUAGUAGUAGUGGUAGUAGUAGCAUUAUUGGUAGUAGUAGCAGUAGUAGUAUUAGUAGUAGUAGUGGUAUUAGUUGUAUUGGUAGUUUAAGUAGUAGUAGCAGCAGUAUUGGUAGCAGUGGUCGUAGUAGUAUUGGUAGUAGUAGUAGUAUUGGUAGUAGUAGUAGUAUUGGUAGUAGUUGUAGUAUUAUUGGUAGUAGUUGUAGUAUUAUUGGUAGUAGUAGUAGUAGCAGCAGUAUUGGUAGCAGUGGUAGUAGUAGUAGUAGCAGUAGUAUUAGUAGUGGUAGUAGUAUUGGUAGUAGUAGUAGUCGUAGGAGUAGCAGUAGUAUUGGUAGUGGUAGUAGUAUUGGUAGUAGUAGUAGUCGUAGGAGUAGCAGUAGUAUUGGUAGUGGUAGUAGUAUUGGUAGUAGUAGUAGCAGUAGUAUUGGUAGUGGUAGUAGUAUUGGUAGUAGUAGUAGCAGUAGUAUUGGUAGUGGUAGUAGUAUUGGUAGUAGUAGUAGCAGUAGUAUUGGUAGUGGUAGUAGUAUUGGUAGUAGUAGUAGCAGUAGUAUUGGUAGUGGUAGUAGUAUUGGUAGUAGUAGUAUUGGUAGAAGUAGUAGCAGUGGUAGUAGUAGUAUUAGUGGUAGUAGUUGUAUCGGUAGUUUAUGUAGUAGUAGCAGCAGUAUUGGUAGUAUUGGUAGCAUUGGCAGCAGUAGUAUUGGUAGUAGUAGUAGUAGUAGUAGCAUAUUCAACUCACUGUUGAAGUGCAGUAGGGCCUUUGGCGUGACCGGCGUGGAGGUGAGGACCAGCAUCUCCAGGCCCUUGAGGCCCUCCCUGCAGACCUCGGCAGCCACCUCCUGGUUGAUCUCACUGACGUGGUCCAGCUCCAGCACCUGCAGACGCAUGCAGUUCCUGGCUGUCGGGGGAGAGGGCCGUGGGAGGAGGAUACGUGGGGGGAGAGAUAGUGAACGUAAAAAGAGUGAAAGUGAAACCAAAACCAAUAUCAUGAUUUGAUCAUCUUGAUAUUAUGUUCAAAAGUGUAAUAGCGAUACCUUUUGUGAGAAGCUGUUACAAAUUCAAUGCAAGACAUUAGACGGUAUAAUAUCUUGCAAAAUCAGUCGAUCAAUUACCUUUGCUUGUCUCUAACUUGAGAGUAAAUCAAGGUUAUUAUGAGGGAUGAAAUAGCAUAGGUUUUGCAUUGAAUUUACUGGAUGCAGGAUAGUCAAGGGUUUACUGUGAACUGACUAGACCUGUCUGUGUAAAAUAAACACAAAUGUGUGAAGAAUGAA
Molecule: long non-coding RNA, 1979 nt
Organism: Gadus macrocephalus (Pacific cod)
Lineage: Eukaryota; Metazoa; Chordata; Actinopteri; Gadiformes; Gadidae
Exons: 2
Source: RefSeq, a predicted model, not a curated record